RNAcentral lists this long non-coding RNA (1185 nucleotides) under Panax ginseng (ginseng). RNAcentral's name for it is "long non-coding RNA (PGIN_LNC005702)". Lineage: Eukaryota; Viridiplantae; Streptophyta; Magnoliopsida; Apiales; Araliaceae. The record is from RNAcentral.
CAGGUAUUUUGGUGAAAAAGAGCUUUGAUGGGUUAUUCAAGAAUUUGAAGGAAUUUCUUACUAGGAAAAUAAAUGUAAGAUCAAUAGCAUAAUAAUUGAUUUUUCAUUUAAAGGCUCUAGGACAUAUUAUUUGCAUUUUUAUUAUAUGUCUUAAAUGAAAAAUGUUUUUAAAUGAUUUUAUAUGAAAAGUUUUUUUAAGGAGUAAAAACAUAUAUUUUGUGCAUGAUAGCCAUAUUCUUUUUUUUAGAUGUGAUAUGUGUGCAUGCUACGCAUGGAUAUUUUAAAUGGCAGCUAGACUUUAUUGUAUGUGCGGUUUUUGAGGAAUGAUUAUGCAUAUUUUGAUAUCCGGUUAUGAUAUGAAUGCUUUAUAUAGAUCUGCUUGAUAAUCUCUUAUUGAGAUAAGAUGUGUGUGUGAGAAUUUCAAGGAAAAGCUAUUAUCAUUAUCUUGGACUCUUAAAGGUCUAAUGUCUUGGAAAAAUAACUGACUGAUGUGCUUCUAUUUUAGACGUCACUUUUGAGUAAGGAGAUUAAGUCAAAAUUAUUUAUCUCUUAAGUCUUUUGUUUUAUUCCACUAACAAGAGUCUGUUCUCUUAAUAUGGAUAUAUAUUAAAGAUAUGGACUUAGUCUAGCUUUACCGUUGUGGAAAUUGCCGAUUGAUUAAUUAGUACAUAUCUUUUAUUAACGGUAACUUGUGUAAGGGCUAUAUAAAUGAUGUUUCUCAUUUAGAAAAUAACACAACUCAUGAAAUUACUACUUGCACUUAUUACUGUUAUCGAGCAAUUUGAUUUUGUCAAGUGCAAACUUUUGAGAAGCUAAUUAAGCAAUUAAUUUUCUGGUAUUAUUUGAGCUGGUAUUCGGUAAGAAAUUAAUUGUUUAUCUAUUGUGUGCUAAUUGAUCAUUGCAUUUAGUUGAGCCUUUAAUUGUUAAAUUGAUUAUUCUUGCAUUGAUCAUAGACCUCUAUAAUUGUAUUGGAUUUUCUGUUUUAGACUAAGUGUAGUCUAAAGGUGUUAAUCCUAGUGGAUUAGAGAAAAGGGUUACAAACAGGUUCAAGAAAGCAAAGCUGCUUGAAGAGUGCAUAGGUGCAUAAGGAGCAAGAGAGCUCAAAGGAAAAUUAAUUGUUAAUUAAUUUUUGUUAGAAUCUGUUUUGUAAUCUAUAUUUAUUUAUAAAGAAAUAAAUAAAGUGAG